CAAUCUCAUGAACAAAAAUCAAAGAAGAAAAGGAAAAUUGAUGGUUGAAGUGUUGGCUUCUGGUUUUUCUGGGACAUUGAUUUCUCUCUGGCAUUUGUUGUAAAACAAAUAUGUGGUUCUUGCCCCACAGAUGGUGUCUAUGUAAUGAUUUUUACAUUUAGGGUGUGUUUGGUACGAAGGAAUUUUUUUUUUGGAAAAUGUUUUCUAAUUUAUUUCAUGUUUGGUUAGCUUAAAUGUUUGGAAAAUAUUUUCGUUAUCAAUUUAUUUUUUUCCAAUUGGGGGAAAAUAUUUUCCUUAUCAAGAGAAGGGAAAACAUUUUCCAAACCUCCUCCUUCUCAACUUUCCCAACCCCCACCAACCCACCCCACCCCCUCUCUGAUUUUUUUUUUAUUUCAGCUUUUCCGUUACCACGCACCCUAUUACCCCUCCAUCUCCUCUCCCCCUUUCCCGCUCCCCCGCAAAAAAAUAUUUUUUUACCUUAAUUCUUUUUUGUAAUUUUAAAUUUCUAUUUUUUUAUUGUUCUGCACCACCCACCCUUACCCCCACCCCCAAUUUUUUUUUCUUUUUUUCUUUUUUUUUUUUUUUU
Molecule: long non-coding RNA, 586 nt
Filed under: Nicotiana benthamiana
Lineage: Eukaryota; Viridiplantae; Streptophyta; Magnoliopsida; Solanales; Solanaceae
Description: long non-coding RNA (NBEN_LNC027292)
Source: RNAcentral